Planococcus citri (citrus mealybug) is the source of this 1565-nucleotide long non-coding RNA. RefSeq lists it as uncharacterized. Lineage: Eukaryota; Metazoa; Arthropoda; Insecta; Hemiptera; Pseudococcidae. The transcript has 2 exons. The record is from RefSeq and is a predicted model, not a curated record.
AACAAAAUGGUCUCAUUUUACAACAUUUUACGUACAUAACGAAUCAGAUAGAUACGAAGAUUGAAACGCCUUCCAAUAUGAAUAUUUUUACGAUAGCCUUUGUCGCACUAAAAUUUUGAAUUAAGAUUGAGAUUGACGUAAUUCUAAGGAUUUCAAAAAAUGAGGAUUCUUUCUGUUGUCGUCAUAAUCAUCAUCAUCAUCAUCAGUGUACAUGUAAUGUAGUUAGGUGGCUAGGUGCACAUGUAAAUAAUGCAUUUUCAGUUUCGUGGACAGUGCAUUACAAACUGUGGAAUUGAAGUUUGAACAAGUAGAAUUGUGUAAUGUACUCAGAUCUUACAGAGUACAGAGAACGAGUAGAACGUAACGCAGCGAUGUAUAAAUAAUUACACAUAUUAUAUACUCUUUCCUAUUGGAUAAGAUGAGUGAUGCCCUUCUCACGUUAGUUUUUCCCCUCUUGCAUUUGCGUGAGUCGUAAGGCCAAGUUCUUUGUAAUAUUAUUUCAACAUUAGCCAUUGCCCUGAUUGCCGUCGCUGUUGCUGUUGUGUGUGUCGAAUGAGAGUUUCAUCGUUGGAGGGGAAGUCAAAAUUUCUUCAUUAACUGUAGCCGGCUGGCCGCGAACAGGAUCGCGAUUUCCGUGCUCUCUCUCUUCGCUCGUGACGCUUACCGCUUACGUUUUACAUUAUACAUUCUUAGUUCAUCUAUCUUCGCCUAUCGUCGUCGUCUUGUUUCUCGUUGUGUCGGGCCGGUCUGCGAUUCCGUCCGUAUGGUACUUAAAAUUCUACUUGUUGGUUUUUUCCAAUGAUUGUGACCGUUAGCGGAUUUGGUAUUCGGUCAGUACGUGUUAUUUGUGCGGCUUUUCGAGCACUAUAAAAUUUCCGCUUGGUUUUUCGAAUUUUGUUAGUUUUUUUUUCGAUUUUUUUGUGCAUGUUGAAUGUUUUUUUUUAUGCUUACUUAAUCGUAUCAGUUCGAAAUCAAAUUACAUCAACGUAAGUACUAAAGACCUCGUAGAAUUUAGGUAGACAUUGCGUUUGAUUUUAUUACGUUUUGAGGAAAAUACCUACCAACUGUGAUGUCGUUUCAACGAUCGGAGUAAUAGGCUAUUGUUCGAGUUACAAUUUUGAUUUUAUUACAGUACAUUCAAAUCGGACCGAUCAAACGCGUUUCAAGUAGAAUUGUAAGAAAACGGAGAUAAUGUAGGUACCUAUAGAUUGAUAAAUAGAUAGAAAACCAUCAGUAUACAUUUAUAUCAGAAUGUUCGUUCGUUAUAAUUACUUAUUUUGUUGUUCGUAUUAACGACUCGAGCCCAUAUUACUUAUAAUAACUACUUGUAGAAAUUUUUUUUAUCAGACAUUGAUACAUAGCGCGAUAAAAUUCAUCGUUGACGUGACGUAAUUUAUUAUUUCAUUACACGUUCGACCAAAAUUAUGGCAUAAAGAAAACGGUUUUAAAAUCGUGGUGGUAGUCUUCCGUUAACGUAACCUAGCCGAUUUCUUGACUACCCCUAGAGUUGGUGAAUCCUUUAAAAAAAAAAAAAAACCCUUAAAUGCCUAUAAGAAUGGUCAACA